RNAcentral lists this ribosomal RNA (253 nucleotides) under uncultured bacterium. RNAcentral's name for it is "partial 16S ribosomal RNA". It matches the Rfam family "Bacterial small subunit ribosomal RNA", at positions 524 to 776 of the family's 1533-position model. The record is from RNAcentral.
UACGGAGGGGGCAAGCGUUGUUCGGAAUUACUGGGCGUAAAGGGCUCGUAGGCGGCCCACUAAGUCGGAUGUGAAAUCCCCAGGCUCAACUUGGGAACUGCAUCCGAUACUGGAUGGCUUGAAUUCGGGAGAGGGAAGCAGAAUUCCAGGUGUAGCGGUGAAAUGCGUAGAUAUCUGGAGGAAUACCGGUGGCGAAGGCGGCAUCCUGGACCGACAUUGACGCUGAGGAGCGAAAGCUAGGGGAGCAAACGGG